Molecule: non-coding RNA, 92 nt
Filed under: Herpetosiphon aurantiacus
Lineage: Bacteria; Bacillati; Chloroflexota; Chloroflexia; Herpetosiphonales; Herpetosiphonaceae
Description: Glycine sequence
Rfam family: Glycine riboswitch aptamer
About the family: This family represents the bacterial glycine riboswitch.
Source: RNAcentral
CGACAGCGCUCUGGAGAGCAAGCAUUCACUUGCACCGAUGGAGUAACUUGCAGCGCAAGGAAUCUCUCAGGUCAAUGGACAGAGAUCAGGCA